Molecule: transfer RNA, 84 nt
Filed under: Candidatus Nitrosopumilus sp.
Lineage: Archaea; Thermoproteati; Nitrososphaerota; Nitrososphaeria; Nitrosopumilales; Nitrosopumilaceae
Description: Nitrosopumilus sp. tRNA-Ser
Rfam family: tRNA
About the family: Transfer RNA (tRNA) molecules are approximately 80 nucleotides in length. Their secondary structure includes four short double-helical elements and three loops (D, anti-codon, and T loops).
Source: RNAcentral
GCCGGGGUCGCCUAGCCUGGUAGGGCGCAAGCCUGGAAAGCUUGUGACCGCAAGGUCUCGAGGGUUCGAAUCCCUCUCCCGGCG